Molecule: long non-coding RNA, 906 nt
Filed under: Ovis aries (sheep)
Lineage: Eukaryota; Metazoa; Chordata; Mammalia; Artiodactyla; Bovidae
Description: lncRNA (ENSOARG00000026348.1)
Source: RNAcentral
GGGCAUGGCAACCCACUUCAGUUCUUGCCUGGAGAAUCCCAUGAACAAAGGAGCCUGGCAGACCAUGGUCUGUAGGAUCACAAAGAGUCAGACAUGACUGAAGCAAUUUAGCAUGCAUGCAUGUUACCCAGAGUAAGGAUAUAAUUAUUGUGUAACAGUUUAAAUCAGAGCAUAGCCUGUGUCAUUUAUCAAACAUUAUUCUAGUGACAAAAGAGAUACAAGUUUCAAUGCAAACACAUGGCACAGAAUUUGCUCAUUAGUAGGAAGGUUGGUUUAUAGGUAAUAUAUCAGAUUUAAUCUGGUUUUCAGGUUAAAAUAUGUAAUAAAGCUUUAACUGCUUUUCUUCCAAGGUAAGCUUUACAAUAAGGCACUCUAUCCCUGAAAACUUCAAAUGGUACAUAAUGACAGUUGGCAGUUCAUUCAUUUUACUGUGUAUAAUUAUCUAUUCUGUCCCUGGCCUUUAAAAGACAGGUCAUUGUUUUGGGUUGGAUUAUCCCAGAUGCAGACCUGAAGUUAAGGAUCUGAGUGCUAGUGAUUUAUAAAGUAGAUGCUCCUAGAAAAAGGAUUAGAGUGGUAAGGAUGGGUGAGAAGCAGGUAUCAAAGGGGGAUAAGCUAAGAAAGGGUGAAAUUUCAGAGGAAGUUUCAGUCUCAGCUUGAUCCCACAAGGAGCUAUAUCACAGAAUAUCUGUCCCCUGGAGGCAAGGGAACACCAGGCUGCGGCCCUUGAGUAUGGCUGGGAGACUGACUCUGUGGCAGGAGGAGAAGGAGCAAGAGAAUGGUCAUGCCCCAGGUCGGAGUGAAUCCCUGGAACUGGGUGCCAAGUGAGGGUCUUUGGCUUUGAGAAGAAGGAAGUCAAAGGUAAUCCAAGGUAAAAUGAAAGUGAGUUUAUUGAAAGGCAGAUGCACU